Molecule: ribosomal RNA, 519 nt
Filed under: uncultured bacterium
Lineage: Bacteria
Description: partial 16S ribosomal RNA
Rfam family: Bacterial small subunit ribosomal RNA
Source: RNAcentral
UGGGGAAUAUUGCACAAUGGGCGCAAGCCUGAUGCAGCCAUGCCGCGUGUGUGAAGAAGGCCUUCGGGUUGUAAAGCACUUUCAGCGAGGAGGAAGGUGGUGGACUUAAUACGUUCAUCAAUUGACGUUACUCGCAGAAGAAGCACCGGCUAACUCCGUGCCAGCAGCCGCGGUAAUACGGAGGGUGCAAGCGUUAAUCGGAAUUACUGGGCGUAAAGCGCACGCAGGCGGUUUGUUAAGUCAGAUGUGAAAUCCCCGGGCUCAACCUGGGAACUGCAUUUGAAACUGGCAAGCUAGAGUCUCGUAGAGGGGGGUAGAAUUCCAGGUGUAGCGGUGAAAUGCGUAGAGAUCUGGAGGAAUACCGGUGGCGAAGGCGGCCCCCUGGACGAAGACUGACGCUCAGGUGCGAAAGCGUGGGGAGCGAACAGGAUUAGAUACCCUGGUAGUCCACGCUGUAAAACGAUGUCGAUUUGGAGGUUGUGCCCCUUGAGGCGUGGCUUCCGGAGCUAACGCGUUAAA